RNAcentral lists this ribosomal RNA (544 nucleotides) under Ovis aries (sheep). RNAcentral describes it as "partial large subunit ribosomal RNA". It matches the Rfam family "Bacterial large subunit ribosomal RNA", at positions 1409 to 2105 of the family's 2925-position model. Lineage: Eukaryota; Metazoa; Chordata; Mammalia; Artiodactyla; Bovidae. The record is from RNAcentral.
UUAAGCUCAACAACAAUAGUAUUAUUAAUCCCAGCAAUAACAUUAGCCAACUCCUAGAUUUAAUACUGGACUAUUCUAUUACUAAAUAGAAGCAAUAAUGUUAAUAUGAGUAACAAGAAAUAUUUUCUCCUCGCACAAGUUUAAGUCAGUAACUGAAAAAACCCUGACCGUUAACAGUAAAUAAAAAUAACCCAACAAUAAAUGAUUUAUUACUUAUACUGUUAACCCAACACAGGAGUGCACCCAGGAAAGAUUCAAAGAAGUAAAAGGAACUCGGCAAACACUAAACCCCGCCUGUUUACCAAAAACAUCACCUCCAGCAUCCCUAGUAUUGGAGGCACUGCCUGCCCAGUGACUAAACGUUAAACGGCCGCGGUAUUCUGACCGUGCAAAGGUAGCAUAAUCAUUUGUUCUCUAAAUAAGGACUUGUAUGAAUGGCCACACGAGGGUUUUACUGUCUCUUACUUCCAAUCAGUGAAAUUGACCUCCCCGUGAAGAGGCGGGGAUAAAUCAACAAGACGAGAAGACCCUAUGGAGCUUUAAC